UACGUAGGGUGCAAGCGUUGUCCGGAAUUAUUGGCGUAAAGAGCUCGUAGGCGGUCUGUCGCGUCGGCUGUGAAAUCCCGAGGCUCAACCUCGGGUCUGCAGUCGAUACGGGCAAACUAGAGUAUUGCAGGGGAGACUGGAAUUCCUGGUGUAGCGGUGAAAUGCGCAGAUAUCAGGAGGAACACCGGUGGCGAAGGCGGGUCUCUGGGCAGUAACUGACGCUGAGGAGCGAAAGCGGUGGGAGCAAACAGG
RNAcentral lists this ribosomal RNA (252 nucleotides) under uncultured bacterium. RNAcentral's name for it is "partial 16S ribosomal RNA". It matches the Rfam family "Bacterial small subunit ribosomal RNA", at positions 524 to 776 of the family's 1533-position model. The record is from RNAcentral.